GAAGUUUUAGGUUAUGUUUAAACUUUUAGUUUUCAAAAUUAAAGAAUAAAACUUUU
RNAcentral lists this transfer RNA (56 nucleotides) under Crassicauda magna. RNAcentral describes it as "tRNA-Trp". RNAcentral also lists the same sequence under 1 other name. Lineage: Eukaryota; Metazoa; Nematoda; Chromadorea; Rhabditida; Tetrameridae. The record is from RNAcentral.